Molecule: ribosomal RNA, 495 nt
Filed under: uncultured bacterium
Lineage: Bacteria
Description: partial 16S ribosomal RNA
Rfam family: Bacterial small subunit ribosomal RNA
Source: RNAcentral
CGAACGCUGGCGGCGUGCCUAAUACAUGCAAGUUGAGCGCUGAAGGUUGGUACUUGUACCAACUGGAUGAGCCGCGAACGGGUGAGUAACGCGUGGGGAAUCUGCCUUUGAGCGGGGGACAACAUUUGGAAACGAAUGCUAAUACCGCAUAAAAACUUUAAACACAAGUUUUAAGUUUGAAAGAUGCAAUUGCAUCACUCAAAGAUGAUCCCGCGUUGUAUUAGCUAGUUGGUGAGGUAAAGGCUCACCAAGGCGAUGAUACAUAGCCGACCUGAGAGGGUGAUCGGCCACAUUGGGACUGGGACACGGCCCAAACUCCUACGGGAGGCAGCAGUAGGGAAACUUCGGCGAUGGACGAAAGUCUGACCGAGCAACGCCGCGUGAGUGAAGAAGGUUUUCGGAUCGUAAAACUCUGUUGGUAGAGAAGAACGUUGGUGAGAGUGGAAAGCUCAUCAAGUGACGGUAACUACCCAGAAAGGGACGGCUAACUACGUG